This 489-nucleotide ribosomal RNA is filed under the name uncultured bacterium. RNAcentral describes it as "bacterial SSU rRNA". It matches the Rfam family "Bacterial small subunit ribosomal RNA", at positions 1 to 507 of the family's 1533-position model. The record is from RNAcentral.
GACGAGUUUGAUCAUGGCUCAGAAUCAACGCUGGCGGCGUGCCUCAGACAUGCAAGUCGAACGAUUAAAGCUCUCUUCGGAGAGUGCAUAGAGUGGCGCACGGGUGAGUAACACGUAAGUAAUCUACCUUCGAGUGGGGAAUAACGUCCGGAAACGGGCGCUAAUACCGCAUAAUGCAGCGGCAUCGCAAGAUGACAGUUGUUAAAGGAGCAAUCCGCUUGAAGAGGAGCUUGCGGCAGAUUAGCUAGUUGGUAGGGUAAUGGCCUACCAAGGCUACGAUCUGUAACCGGUCUUAGAGGACGGUCGGUCACACUGACACUGAAUAACGGGUCAGACUCCUACGGGAGGCAGCAGUCGGGAAUUUUGGGCAAUGGGGGAAACCCUGACCCAGCAACGCCGCGUGAAGGAUGAAGUAUUUCGGUAUGUAAACUUCGAAAGAAUAGGAAGAAUUAAUGACGGUACUAUUUAUAAGGUCCGGCUAACUACGUG